RNAcentral lists this long non-coding RNA (1056 nucleotides) under Sinocyclocheilus grahami. RNAcentral describes it as "lncRNA (ENSSGRG00000019673.1)". The record is from RNAcentral. Lineage: Eukaryota; Metazoa; Chordata; Actinopteri; Cypriniformes; Cyprinidae.
GUUGAACUGUAAUAGAUAUAUAAUAAUGGAAUGGAACAAUAAUUCUCUCCUCAGAUUACCUGCUGACGGUAAAGGUUCUGGUUCCUCUCCUGGUUUUGAUCGGUUGUUGUGUUUGUCUGUGGUCGUACAGAAACCUGUAAGUCUGCUGAUAUACAGUAUGUGCGGUGAGUGAUGGACUGUACUUCUCUUCUCCGUGGUUCACUGACACUGUCUUUCUCCAUCGUUUCCAGAAUAGGAGGAUUUCCAGAAGAAUCGUUCGGCUUUCUGCACAUAAAAGCACUGGACCUUGAUGAAGAUCUUUAUGAAGCGAGUGAAAAGAUCCGUACUCUGAUGAUAGAGGACUGUGAAUGGUGUGACGUUGAGAUUUUAGACAUGCAGUCCAUCCAAACAGAGAAAACAUGGUUGACGUGCGCAGAGGACCCGAGUUGUUCAUUCAUUACUCCUAAAGUCAUGCUACCAUCCUGCCAUCUUACCACAGACGUAUGGCUGGCCACAGAUCUCACAAACUUCACUUACGUGUCCUCUGUGCAGCAAGAUCUGCCUUCAGAGGAGCUGAAGACAGAAGCCACAAAUCAGGAGUCAGAGAUUUCAGGCUUUUCGAGUGACUACGUCACUUCCGUAGCCACAUAAUUCCUGAAAACGCAGUAUCGUGAUCUUUUAUACACACCAAAGAAAGCAAGCCAGAGCUGUCGAUCUUAUCACGUUCAGCAAGAUCACGGCAUCCUCAUGUCACCAGCGUGUUUGUAAGGGGCCCCGCUUCCUUCUGCAAAACAGCUUUUAAAGACAAGGGUUGUGAAAUGCGACUGCAGUGUUUGAUACAUGAGAUUUUGCAAUAUCUGUCAGGUACUUUAUCUUGGUUUUGCAUGUUAUGCUAGACCUUUCUGGGCAAAAACAUACAAAAUGUUCUCUCUCAAGGGAAAAACAUGUUCUGGAGGGGACAUUUGUAUUAUUCUUUUGUGUAUUUCUAAGCAUUAUGCGUAACCCUUUGCGAUACUGUAUGUAUCAUGAAUUAACAAUGAACAGUUUUACAGUUAAGAUCUUGAAAUGUUAAAAAUG